RNAcentral lists this ribosomal RNA (549 nucleotides) under uncultured KB1 group bacterium. Its description in RNAcentral is "bacterial SSU rRNA". It matches the Rfam family "Bacterial small subunit ribosomal RNA", at positions 846 to 1383 of the family's 1533-position model. Lineage: Bacteria; Candidatus Calescibacteriota. The record is from RNAcentral.
CCGGAGUUAACGCGUUAAGCCCACCGCCUGGGGAUUACGUCCGCAAGGAUGAAACUCAAGGGAAUUGACGGGGGCCCACACAACCGGUGGAGCACGUGGUUUAAUUCGAUGAUAAGCGAAGAACCUUACCAGGGCUUGACCUAGCGGUAGUAGGACCCCGAAAGGGGAACGACCUCAAGCUUUGCUUGAGGAGCCGUGGCAGGUAUUGCAUGGCUGUCGUCAGCUCGUGUCGUGGGACGUUGGGUUAAGUCCCGUAACGAGCGCAACCCCUGCCCUUAAUUGCCAACGGGUAAUGCCGGGUACUAUAAGGGGACUGCCGGAGAAUAUCCGGAGGAAGGAGGGGAUGACGUCAAGUCAUUAUGAUCCUUAUGCUCUGGGCGACACACGUGCUACAAUGGGCGCUACAAUGAGGAGCGAUUCCGCAAGGAGGAGCAAAUCUCAAAAAGGUGCCCCCAGUGCGGAUUGGGGUCUGCAACCCGACCCCAUGAAGAUGGAAUCGGUAGUAAUCGCGGGUCAGCCAUACCGCGGUGAAUACGUACUUGGGCCUUG